GGAGUAUGGGCCGUUCUCAGUCCCAUUGUGGCCGUUCAACCUCUCAGUCCGGCUACGCAUCAUCGCCUUGGUGGGCCCCUACCUCACCAACUAGCUAAUGCGCCGCAGGCCCCUCAAAUAGUGAUAAAUCUUUAAAUAUACCAAGAUGCCUUGUUAUAUCCUAUCCAGUAUUAUCCAUCGUUUCCAAUGGUUAUCCUCGUCUAUUAGACAGGUUGCCUACGUGUUACUCACCCGUUCGCCAUGGUUAGCAAGCUAACCAUUCGACUUGCAUGUAUUAGGCACGCCGCCAGCGUUAAUC
Molecule: ribosomal RNA, 298 nt
Filed under: uncultured Anaeroplasma sp.
Lineage: Bacteria; Bacillati; Mycoplasmatota; Mollicutes; Anaeroplasmatales; Anaeroplasmataceae
Description: partial 16S ribosomal RNA
Source: RNAcentral